UACGUAGGGAGCAAGCGUUGUUCGGAUUUACUGGGCGUAAAGGGCGCGUAGGCGGCAAAUUAAGUCAGCUGUGAAAUCCCCGAGCUUAACUCGGAACUGUCAGCUGAUACUGAUCUGCUAGAGUGCGGAAGGGGCAAUCGGAAUUCUUGGUGUAGCGGUGAAAUGCGUAGAUAUCAAGAGGAACACCUGAGGUGAAGACGGGUUGCUGGGCCGACACUGACGCUGAGUGCGCGAAAGCCAGGGGAGCAAACGGG
Molecule: ribosomal RNA, 254 nt
Filed under: uncultured bacterium
Lineage: Bacteria
Description: partial 16S ribosomal RNA
Rfam family: Bacterial small subunit ribosomal RNA
Source: RNAcentral